This 254-nucleotide ribosomal RNA is filed under the name uncultured bacterium. RNAcentral's name for it is "partial 16S ribosomal RNA". It matches the Rfam family "Bacterial small subunit ribosomal RNA", at positions 524 to 776 of the family's 1533-position model. The record is from RNAcentral.
UACGUAGGGUGCGAGCGUUAAUCGGAAUUACUGGGCGUAAAGGGCGCGUAGGCGGUCGUGACAAGUCACUUGUGAAAUCUCCGGGCUUAACUCGGAACGGUCAAGUGAUACUGUCGGACUAGAGUACAGAAGGGGCAACUGGAAUUCUCGGUGUAGCGGUGAAAUGCGUAGAUAUCGAGAGGAACACCUGCGGCGAAGGCAGCUUGCUAGGCUAUAUCUGACACUGAGGUACGAAAGCGUGGGUAGCGAACGGG